RNAcentral lists this long non-coding RNA (156 nucleotides) under Notechis scutatus (mainland tiger snake). RNAcentral describes it as "Embryonic ventral forebrain-2 long ncRNA (ENSNSUG00000006535.1)". It matches the Rfam family "Embryonic ventral forebrain-2 long ncRNA". Lineage: Eukaryota; Metazoa; Chordata; Lepidosauria; Squamata; Elapidae. The record is from RNAcentral.
AAUUUCACACCUGGAUCUGCUCAGUCAACCAAGAAUCUAGAGAAAGAGCUUCUGCCCUGAAACACAGGGAAAAAUAUAUAUAUAUAUCCUCCACUGCUUCUUUUCACUCUAGAUUUCCUUAGAUUCUCGUCUCUGCCUAACAGGUUUGCACGGGGG